This 877-nucleotide long non-coding RNA is filed under the name Panax ginseng (ginseng). RNAcentral describes it as "long non-coding RNA (PGIN_LNC006681)". Lineage: Eukaryota; Viridiplantae; Streptophyta; Magnoliopsida; Apiales; Araliaceae. The record is from RNAcentral.
GAUACCGUCGGCUCUCGACCCUCAAAAGUCAGAUCUCUCACUCUCUACCCUAGUGUAAUGCCUAACCCAAAAACUAAAACCCCAAUCCCCAAAUCUCUGCCCUAGUGCUUAAUUCGUUUGUAUGUUUUGUUUGUUGGUUUGUGAAAUCUUUAUUUUUAAAUGGAUUACUUGCUUUUUUGUAUAUUAUGUAAUAGGCUUUUCUUUUUGUUUUCCCAGUUAAAAAGACCCAUUUGUUUUUUGUUUUUCUUUUUUCAAUUUUGAGAAUUAGAUCUCUCCUCUUGUUUCUCAAACUUCAAUUUACUCAUUUGGCCAUCAAUUCGAUUCUGGUUUUGCUUGGAAAAAUACAAUUCCUUUUUGUACGAAUUUAAUCAGAGCAUAGUGUUUGAUUUUUGGAGCCACAUCAAAGGGUUGCUUUUUUUUUUCAUCUUCUUUUUUUGUAGGUAACCGGAAUUGGUUUACUGGAUGCAGAAUGACAUGAAUGCUUUAAUUUUUGUUCCUACAUUGUAUCUCAACCCAAUUUUUUUUUUAAAUUAUUUCUCACCUGUUUGUUUAUUAGUAUUUUAAAGCAUCUAAAGAAAAGAUAUGGUUUACCUUUGAGAAUCUCAAAUUUUAGUAAAGCUUUGAUUUUUCCAAUAUUUUCUCAUAGAUGCAUAUUUUGCAUUUCUUGAUCUAAUAAAUUUUUUGUUUGUUUUCGAUCCAGAAUUGGUUGUGGCUUAUGGGUUCUGGCCUUCUGCUCAUUUGUUGAAUGUUGUGCUGUCUAGUGCUUUCUGCUUCAGUGCUUCUACAGACUAUUCUAAAUUGUAAUGCUGUUAAUUGUUAAAUACUUAAAUGUUAAUUAUGGAAAUUGGAAGCCAUUUCAGUUAUUAUCCAAAUUACC